UCGGUAUGGAGCGAGCGAGCGACUACGCUCUUUUAAUGAAAGCCAGGCUAAUGAAGUGCGAGGUGGCAAAAUAUCUUCUUCAAUUCCACCCCUAACACCGUAGGCCACCUCCGACGCUGUCACCUGAGCUGGAAACCAAAAUUAGGCGAUGCUUCAAGUGUGUUUGCGGUGAAAAUUCUGAUGGCAGUUGCAGGAUUCUGCCAGAGAGCAAAAGUGGGGCAGUGCAGAGAGUAGACCAGGACGCCAGCGGAAGGACCAGCUGCAAGCCUGGAUUUCUAACCGGCACCACAGUCAAAUUUUGAUUCCAGGGAAUUGCAAAAUGUUCUUCAAAAGGUUACAAUCAACCACUACAACACACGUAUCACUAUACCUUUACUCUCCAAUGUCUAUGUUUCCAUUUUCAACCCUAGAAAUUCCGUCAAAUUAUAUUUCCAACCAACAAUCAGAAACCCAUAUUAAAAAUCCCAAUAACAUCGAUGAAUCCUGUAUACUGAAUCAGCUCUCAGAUAUUUUACCAAUCAACCGAGAUCCAUUAAUUUUCCAGCCAAUUACCGGAAGUUUACCGGACAAACAUUUAGAAAUUAGGGCCGUCGAUGAUUUUUUAGCUCCUGAAGAGAAAUUACGGGGAAUUUUUCUGCAUAAACUUCGAAGUAAGACUGCAAUUAGAAACGCAUUAAGCAGUGUUGGCGUGGAAGUAAGCAUGGACGUUUUCUCAGAAGUAGUGAAUAGAGGGAAUUUGUGUGGUGAGGCGAUGGUAAUGUUCUUUGAUUGGGCUAUCGAGCAGCCUAAUAUACCUAACGAUAUAUGUACUUAUCAUAUAAUUCUUAAAGCAUUAGGCAGGAGAAAAUUUUUUAUGUAUAUGAUGGAAAUAUUAAAUGAUAUGAGAGCUAAGGAAGUGAACCCUAAUCCCAAAACCCUUUUCAUUGUUCUGGAUAGUUAUGUUCGUGCUCGACAAGUUUCUAAAGCUAUUAAAAUUUUCGGGGAACUGGAGAAAUAUGGUUUAAAAGUUAAUGUGGAGACGUUGAAUGUUAUUUUGCAGUGCUUAUGUCAACGAUCAUUUGUGGGCACUGCAAGUUCACUAUUUAACAGAAUGAAAGAGAAAGUACAAGCUGACAGCGAGACUUAUAAUAUUAUCAUAGGUGGGUGGUCCAAGUUUGGCAGAGUUAGUGAAGUUGAGAAAUUCUUGAAAGUUAUGGUGAACGAUGGAGUUGAGCAUGAUUGUGUAACUUACAGUUAUAUUCUUGAGGGUUUGGGGAGAUCUGGUCGUGUUGAUAACGCUGUUAAGAUCUUUGAGUACUUUGAGGAGAAACGAACUAUGCUAAGUACUGGGGUUUAUAAUGCAAUGGUUUUUAAUUUUAUUGCUGUUGGAGAUAUUGAUGAAGGCUUGAAAUAUUAUAAGCGGAUGUUGAGUAAUAAUUAUGAGCCAAAUAUGGAUACUUAUGCUAGAAUAAUAGCUGCAUUUCUUAAAGUUAAAAGAGUUUCAGACGCUAUCGAACUGUUUGAUGAAAUGCUAGCUCGAGGGAUCAUUCCUACAGCAGGUACUCUCACCACGUUCAUUGAACCUUUGUGUGGCUAUGGUCCGCCUCAUGCUGCCUUGAUGAUAUAUAAUAAGGCAAGAAAAGUUGGAUGCAGAAUAUCACUGACUGCCUAUAAGCUCUUGCUUAUGCGGUUAUCUAGGUUUGGGAAGUGUGGGAUGCUGCUGAAUAUAUGGGAGGAGAUGCAAGAAAGUGGCUAUUCUUGUGAUAUGCAGGCUUAUGAGUAUGUUAUCAAUGGCCUCUGUAACACGGGGCAGCUUGAAACUGCUGUCCUAGUCAUGGAGGAAUCUCUGCACAAGGGAUUUUUCCCUAGCAAGCUUAUUUGUAGCAAACUGAAUAAUAAACUGCUGGCUUCAAAUAAAGUAGAAAUAGCAUAUAAGCUUUUCCUGAAGUUAAAGAAUGCUCGUGUCAAUGAAAAUGCACAAAGAUAUUGGCGGGCUAAAGGGUGGCACUUUUGAUCUUUUGCAUCUGUAGGUUGGUGAUGGCAGCUGUUUCAGGUAAUAUUUAUCUGGAUUCUUAUUGAAUAAGAAGGAUCAUCUUUCUUCAAGUUCUAUGGUCCACACGGAAGCUUAGAUAUAACAAUUGAACCACAACUACUGACUAUCAGACGAAGGCACUAGUCUCUCAAGCUUGCUGCUUUACUAUAAGCACGAUUCGGAGAUCUUGGGUUCAUGGCUAUCUGACCCUCUUCUGCUUAGUUACAUUUAUCCUGAUGAUCAGCUACCUGGUAGCGUAGGAAAAGAAUGUGCCUGAGUUUUAUGAUGAUUAAGUUCAGAAUUGCUGUUGCAAGAAAUGGAUUUAAUUACAUACCUGAUGGCCUUUCACUGAAGUUACCAAGAUAUCAUCAAAAGGGUCAGGGCAUCAAAAGGGUCAGGGCAUGUAUUUUCUGUGCAUCAUUUAUUGUGCCUUUGUUGUUUUCUAAUGCUUUAUUGACUCUUUGUGUAAUUAAAUUUUCAAGUUAAUGUAGUGGUCUACACAAUAUACUGGCCCCGAUUGAAUGCUGUUCUGUGCUUCGCAGAUGCAGUAUUGUUUGAAAAUUAAAUAAAAGAUGUCAUUCCUUGUG
This is an RNA transcript of Olea europaea var. sylvestris, 2598 nucleotides long. It is a transcript of the gene named putative pentatricopeptide repeat-containing protein At5g43820, with no coding region annotated. NCBI's taxonomy places the organism in Eukaryota, Viridiplantae, Streptophyta, Magnoliopsida, Lamiales, Oleaceae. The transcript is spliced from 2 exons. The record is from RefSeq and is a predicted model, not a curated record.